This 446-nucleotide ribosomal RNA is filed under the name uncultured bacterium. RNAcentral describes it as "bacterial SSU rRNA". It matches the Rfam family "Bacterial small subunit ribosomal RNA", at positions 337 to 794 of the family's 1533-position model. The record is from RNAcentral.
UCCUACGGGGGGCAGCAGUGGGGAAUAUUGCGCAAUGGGCGGAAGCCUGACGCAGCGACGCCGCGUGAGGGAUGACGGCCUUCGGGUUGUAAACCUCUUUCAGCUCCGACGAAGCGGUUUGUGACGGUAGGAGCAGAAGAAGCACCGGCCAACUACGUGCCAGCAGCCGCGGUAAUACGUAGGGUGCAAGCGUUGUCCGGAAUUAUUGGGCGUAAAGAGCUCGUAGGCGGUUCGUCGCGUCGGCUGUGAAAACCCGGAGCUCAACUCCGGGCCUGCAGUCGAUACGGGCGGACUGGAGUUCGGCAGGGGAGACUGGAAUUCCUGGUGUAGCGGUGAAAUGCGCAGAUAUCAGGAGGAACACCGGUGGCGAAGGCGGGUCUCUGGGCCGAUACUGACGCUGAGGAGCGAAAGCGUGGGGAGCGAACAGGAUUAGAUACCCCGGUAGA